UACGUAGGGACCGAGCGUUGUCCGGAAUCAUUGGGCGUAAAGAGCGUGUAGGCGGCCACUUAAGUCCUGCGUGAAAUCUUGCGGCUCAACCGCAAGCGGUCGUGGGAAACUGGGUGGCUAGAGUGCGGGAGAGGAGAGUGGAAUUCCUGGUGUAGCGGUGGAAUGCGCAGAUAUCAGGAAGAACACCCGUGGCGGAAGGCGGCUCUCUGGAACGCAACUGACGCUGAGACGC
This 232-nucleotide ribosomal RNA is filed under the name uncultured bacterium. RNAcentral's name for it is "partial 16S ribosomal RNA". It matches the Rfam family "Bacterial small subunit ribosomal RNA", at positions 524 to 754 of the family's 1533-position model. The record is from RNAcentral.